Molecule: long non-coding RNA, 630 nt
Organism: Sinocyclocheilus anshuiensis
Lineage: Eukaryota; Metazoa; Chordata; Actinopteri; Cypriniformes; Cyprinidae
Exons: 3
Source: RefSeq, a predicted model, not a curated record
GGGGUUAUUUUCAGAAAUCACUUGUGAGACGUUAUGCUACUGAGAGAAAUGGAGUGAAUGUGGUUGUUGGACCCAUCUUCGACUAUGACUACAAUGGUCUUAGGGAUACAGCAGAGACAAUAAAACAGUAUGUCAGUGGCUCUGUGCAAAUCCCAAGUCAUUACUACAUUGUGGUUACAAGUUGUCUGGAUUACACACAGACUGUUGACUCCUGUGUUGGUCCUCUCAGUGUGUUCUCUUUCAUCCUUCCACACCGAUCAGAUAAUGAUGAAAGCUGUAAUAGUUCAGAGGACGAGACAAAGUGGGUCGAGGAACUGAUAAAGACACACACAGCACGUAUAAGAGAUGUGGAGUUACUUACAGGACUGGACUUUUAUCGUCGCACUAGCAGGACCUAUGAGGAGAUCCUCUCUUUAAAAACGUACUUACACACAUAUGAGAGUGAGAUCUAAACCACUGCAUCCCCGCAUUAGCAUUCCCUCCAUCUUAACUGUCGGGAUGCAGAAGUAAGGUGUAUAUUUUUAUACAAACUUAUUUUGUAUUUUGUAUAACUUAUUUAUUGUUCUUUCAUUGCUAAUCCUUAAGUGAUUUUUUUUUACAUUCUCCUCCUUAAUGACAGUGACUUAUACG